AGUCGACGGCAGCACGGGCUUCGGUCUGGUGGCGAGUGGCGAACGGGUGAGUAAUAUAUCGGAACAUACCCUAGAGUGGGGGAUAACGUAGCGAAAGUUACGCUAAUACCGCAUACGAACUAAGGUUGAAAGUGGGGGAUCGCAAGACCUCAUGCUCAUGGAGUGGCCGAUAUCUGAUUAGCUAGUUGGUGAGGUAAUGGCUCACCAAGGCGACGAUCAGUAGCUGGUCUGAGAGGACGACCAGCCACACUGGAACUGAGACACGGUCCAGACUCCUACGGGAGGCAGCAGUGGGGAAUUUUGGACAAUGGGGGCAACCCUGAUCCAGCAAUGCCGCGUGAGUGAAGAAGGCCUUCGGGUUGUAAAGCUCUUUUGUCAGGGAAGAAACGGUGAAGGCUAAUAUCCUUUGCUAAUGACGGUACCUGAAGAAUAAGCACCGGCUAACUACGUGCCAGCAGCCGCGGUAAUACGUAGGGUGCAAGCGUUAAUCGGAAUUACUGGGCGUAAAGCGUGCGCAGGCGGUUAUAUAAGACAGAGGUGAAAUCCCCGGGCUCAACCUGGGAACUGCCUUUGUGACUGUAUGGCUAGAGUGUGUCAGAGGGGGGUAGAAUUCCACGUGUAGCAGUGAAAUGCGUAGAGAUGUGGAGGAAUACCGAUGGCGAAGGCAGCCCCCUGGGAUAACACUGACGCUCAUGCACGAAAGCGUGGGGAGCAAACAGGAUUAGAUACCCUGGUAGUCCACGCCCUAAACGAUGUCUACU
Molecule: ribosomal RNA, 761 nt
Filed under: Undibacterium sp.
Lineage: Bacteria; Pseudomonadati; Pseudomonadota; Betaproteobacteria; Burkholderiales; Oxalobacteraceae
Description: bacterial SSU rRNA
Rfam family: Bacterial small subunit ribosomal RNA
Source: RNAcentral